AUAAGAAGAUACAUAAAGAUAUUUCAUUUUGUUCAAAUCAAUAGACAACAGAGCAGAUAUGACCAUUUCCUUAGUUGGGUCAAGGAAAAGUCCAACUGAGGCUAUAAGCUGAUUGUGGCGAUGUGUUCAGAACCAGCGGUGAUGAGAUUUAUUUAGUAGUGAUUCGAUUGCUAAGAUUGAAAGUUGGCUGGUGGGAGUGGGCAUAUACAGUUAUGGAAUGAAAUUUUACAGACUCGACAUUCUAUCCUAUAUUGUAGUUUUUGAGAAAAGAUCCUAUAUUGCAAGUUGCAUGGGAAGAUUAACAGCUGUCAGAGAAGUAAAUAAAGGCUGUCCUGCAGUGUUCCUUGGGGCUCCAAAAUUAAUGUGGGCGGCAGCCGGGGCCUCUGACAUGCGAAUCCGUCCAUACCCCUGGCCGGAUCUACAUGGGUGGAUCUGGCUGCAGAGGUGCGCGGUGUGGAGGUAGUCCUAGCAUGGCAGCGAUGGUGCGGUGUUGAUGAGGAGCAUGCUGUACGAUUGCUGCUGUGCUCGGCCCUGCGGUGGACAGCAACUGCAACUGCAACAUCAGGAGAUACUUUGCUUAGCCAUGGAUCGGGUCAUGGCCUUGUGGUGGUAUGAUUCGGCAGAACCUUUUUUUCGUGGUAUUUUUCAUAUGAAAGCAAAAUAUUCAAAUAAAAGAUACAAUGACCACUAGUGUUUCAAUUAAAAAGUGGAUAAAAAAUUGCAACACCUGAUAAGAUUUGCAUUUGAAAGUUAUAUAUAGAUUCAUGAUAUCAUAAAAAAAGAUACAACAAGAAAUUAUAAUAGGUUUCCACUAAAUACAUAGUCGAUGUCAUAAAAAAAGAUACGACCAUUUACUCAGUUGGGUAAGGAAAAGCCCAAUCUCUAUCAUGCCGCCGAAAUAUGAUGCCCCGGCCCAAUUAUUACUGGCAUUCACGGUAUCUUCUCAUUUUCGUAUCUUCUUAUAGGAGAACCCCACUAAAAUAUUUUUAUAGCAUCUCCUCAAGCCACGUCAUCCAUUUUAUUUGGAGCCGCCAUUCAGCAACUGAACAAGCUUUCUUUGGAGUCGCGCUUCCUCUUUGCCCAUGAACUGAACAGGCACAAAAAUUAUUGUCUCAUUGAUUCUACCGCAACAAAUGCAUAAGAAAAUGAACGGUCAUCCUUGCAGUCGAGUUUAAAUAUCUCUGCUCCGCCUUGACUACGGUCGCCACCCAUCCUGCUUCACCUCGAAUGUGUCCCCUACUCAACAGCGCCUCACCACAUCGCGCCGCCUCCGUCGUGCUUCUGCUCAGCCAUUACGACGUCCCGGUAGGAUAUAGCACUCCACCUCGGUUGUCUUGAGGGUAGUGCCAAGAACAUGAUGGUCUCCAGGGGCCAGCAUUACCUCUGCUGAGCUCUCCCAUGACCUUUCGUCGGUGCUAGUAGUGCCUGCGGAGCUUUGCACGUGCCCCCGAUAGAGUUCCCGUCGCAAACUCCGGUGCCAAACUCUGGCGGUGGCGGCAAUUUAGACGGCUUUUCAUUUUGCAUGGAUGAAGCUUUUGACUACCGGAAGAUGAUAAUGUCGUAUUAUCCAUGGAACCACAUUUUUUAUUUUUUGGCAACCAACUUAUGAGGUUCUGCAUAAUCAUGCCCAGUUUUUGGUGCCCCCCAAAUCUCUCAAUUUUUGAAACUAUGUCUCCAGCUACUAGACAUUUAUUAUAGUGCUGCACUUCUUUUCACAAGGUAAGAUACUUCCUAUCGCGCCUCGAAUUAAAUAAUGUUACAAUGCAAACCAAAAUUUUUUUGCCUCUAAAA
Long non-coding RNA from Sorghum bicolor (sorghum), 1791 nucleotides. RefSeq lists it as uncharacterized. Lineage: Eukaryota; Viridiplantae; Streptophyta; Magnoliopsida; Poales; Poaceae. The transcript has 2 exons. The record is from RefSeq and is a predicted model, not a curated record.